Molecule: small nucleolar RNA, 131 nt
Organism: Suricata suricatta (meerkat)
Lineage: Eukaryota; Metazoa; Chordata; Mammalia; Carnivora; Herpestidae
Gene: U8
Rfam family: U8 small nucleolar RNA
About the family: U8 is a member of the C/D class of snoRNA which contain the C (UGAUGA) and D (CUGA) box motifs. U8 is the RNA component of a small complex (the U8 snoRNP) which is required for accumulation of mature large subunit ribosomal RNAs, 5.8S and 28S rRNAs. U8 RNA has been identified in human, mouse, rat and Xenopus.
Source: Ensembl
UCAUCAGGUAGGAUAAUCCUUACCCUAUCCUCCUCCAGGAGGGCAGACUGGAACAUGAUGAUUGUAGAUUGCAUGAUGCGUGAUUAGCGUCUCUGUGUGAAAAAAAAAGAAAAAGAAAAUCACAGCUCUAU